Molecule: ribosomal RNA, 253 nt
Filed under: uncultured bacterium
Lineage: Bacteria
Description: partial 16S ribosomal RNA
Rfam family: Bacterial small subunit ribosomal RNA
Source: RNAcentral
UACGUAGGUCCCGAGCGUUGUCCGGAUUUACUGGGUGUAAAGGGAGCGUAGGCGGUUUGGCAAGUCAGAAGUGAAAGCCCGGGGCUCAACUCCGGGACUGCUUUUGAAACUGGCGUGCUCGAGUUGGAGAGAAGUAUGCGGAAUUCGUGGUGUAGCGGUGAAAUGCAUAGAUAUCACGAAGAACCCCGAUUGCGAAGGCAGCAUACCGGCUCCACACUGACGCUGAGGCACGAAAGCGUGGGUAUCGAACAGG